Bacillus rossius redtenbacheri is the source of this 5271-nucleotide RNA transcript. RefSeq lists it as uncharacterized. Lineage: Eukaryota; Metazoa; Arthropoda; Insecta; Phasmatodea; Bacillidae. The record is from RefSeq and is a predicted model, not a curated record. The transcript has 11 exons.
UGUAACAUGUAAAUAAGUUACAAACUUUGAUAUGUUAAUAUUUUUAGUGAUCAAGUUUCUUUUUAUCAUCUAGUUUUUAAUCCUGUAUUUUAUUUAAACAUUUUAAUAUGUGUAAUCGUAAAUAAAUUUUACAAUGAAAAUUGACAAUUUUUUAAAAUUCUUUGAAUUGCCGUGCUAGGGGAUACUUUCUUAGCAUAAGUACAGUUGUGUCCUCACUUUAUCUUUAAAGAAGUUUGUGAACACAUCAGGCAUUUAGUAAUGAAGCGGAAGGUGGAGGAGGAGUCGGAAGAGGGGGACCUGCAGCACAACAGGAACUUCAGCUUGCCUCCGCCGCCCAUGCAGCACCAGUCCCCGCCGCCCAUGCAGCACCACACCCCGCCACCCAUGCACAACCACCCCCCACCGCCCAUGCAGCACCACACCCCACCACCCAUGCACAACCAGCCCGCGCCGCCCAUGUCGCACUUCGUCGGCCGGGGGAGGGGCCCCUGGAUGCAGCGCAGGCAGCAGCACGGGCGCGGGGGCGGCUUCGGGGCGGCGGGUGGCGCGAACGGUUCCAUGGUCAACGGCGAGAUGCAUGGCGGCCAGCCCUUCUUCAGGGGCGGUCCCAGGGGCAUGCUGGGCAACCGCGGGAUGCCUGGCAACCGCAGGAUGCCGGGCAACCGCGGCAUGCCCCCUGGCAACCGCGGCAUGCCCCCUGGCAACUGCGACUUCUUCCCCCGGAGCCAGGGAAACCCUCGCUUUGGCAACUCUUUCCAGCAGAGGGAGUUCCACCAGGGCAUGCCGUGGAGCCAGCCGCCCCGGCACAUGUACCAGCAGCAGCAGCAGCAGCAGCAGCAGAUGCCGUACCCGCAGCAGAUGCAGGCCCAGCAGAUGAAGGCGGACGCCGACGCGUGCGGGCAAGGAGGCUCCCCCUCGUCCCAGCACAAGGUGCAGGUCCACGGCGACGAGACGUUCACAAAGUCCAAGUCGAGCAAGCGCCGCCCCAUGUCCCAGAGCUACCCGUCGCGACCCUGGAACAAGGAGGACGCGGAGAGGGCGCUGCAGGAGGAGUCGGCGCACAUGAAGGGCCUGAAGAGCCACAGCCUGGUGGUACGGUUCCCCGACCCGGAGCUCAGCAAGGACAUCGUCAAGUCCUUCCACCCGAGCAUCGAGAACGUCCACUUCCAAAUCCCGAGCGGAGCGAGGUAUUGUUUCAUACAGCUGACUGAGGACGCAGACCCUGACGAGGCGAUAGAGGAGAUGCAGAAAAUCGAAUUCGGAUGUGGCAAUCUGGUGGUCGAGAAGAAGUACGCUAAAGAAGAGGAGGAGGAGCUGUGUCCCGAGGACAUCGACCCGUACACAUUGUACAUUGGAAACCUCCCAACAAAUGUGAAUGUAAUGUCUGUGAAACAGAACUUUCCGACUGCUGCAAGAAUUGAUAUCGGUUUCGCGCAGAGGAUGAAAUUCACACGGUAUGCAUUUGUUCGAUACAACACGGUAGAUGAUGCAAUCGAAGCGUACCGAAAAACGCACAACCUUGUGUUAGAUUCCAGGAGUAUAAUUGUGAGAUUUCGACGGCAGCGUGGUCAUGUUGGUUUACCGGGAGAGUCCAAGCCACAAAAAGAAUCUAAAAAACAGGAAGGUGAAAAAACAAAAGCAAAACCCAAGAAGGAUAAAGAAAAGGAGAAAGAAAAGGCAAAAGUGAAAGAUAAGGUGAAAGAAAAAGGUAAAGAGAAAGGAAAGGAGAAGGCAAAAGAAAAGGAAAAAGAGAAGGAAAAAGAAAAGGAAAAGGCAAAAACAGUAAAACUAAAAGAGGAACUGAAGUCGGAUGACGAGGGUGACGAUGACGAUGACGACGAUGAAGACGACGACUCGGACUCUGACUCUGACGACGAGGAAGAAGAUGAUGAAGAGGAUGACGAAGAGGACGAAGAUGAUGAGGAUGAUGAUGAGGAUGACGAUGAUGAUGAUGACGAUGAUGAUGAUGACGAGGAUGAAGAGGAUGAUGAUGAAGAGUUUGAUGAUCGAUCAGGAAAUAUGUUCCAGUCGGUUGAUUUGCGGCUGAACGCCAUCGAUGGAAUGCCGUUCCCGUUCCUCACAGACUAGUCCUAACAGGUGGGAAAAUUUGGCAGAAGUCUAACGAACCGACCGAUGUGAGCCGUGCUGCUGCUGAGCGAAGGCUUGAAGCUGUCCGGUUGGGAAGUCAAUCCAUCGUCAGAGCGAAGAGCACAAGCUCUACACUUAACCCAAUGUUUCGGGUGUCCUGCAGACAAGGCGCAGACUAUCGGCUGGGAAGAAAACAACCUGCUUCACUCAGUAUCCACAUAGUGAUUAGUGGUGGGCUUGCCUGUUACUUUUGAGUAUCAGUGAAUAUAGGUGAAAUACAGGUUCCAGUGAAAUUUAACUGUGAAAAACAGUGAAUGGUGAAAUCACUAUCUGUUAGUGCUCGUAACUGCUUCCUCACUUUGAUGAAUGGUGAAAUAAAGGUGUACAGUGAAAUCACUGCUGACUAGAUCUUACAACAGCUACUGUCUCCCGGUGAACUGUGAAAUUAAAUACAUGCAGUGUUUUUCACUGAAAUCUUUCAUAUUGUUUCGAGUUUAUUUUGAUUUUAAGUUGAAAAAUACUACAUAUUAGUUUGUUUUUUUGUAUUAUAGAUAUAAUAAUAUAGACUCCAUAUUUAUGUCAUUGUUCUUUUAGCUUAGUAAUAUAACGAGCAUGUUUUAAGUUUACUACAUAUAUGGGAAACUUGAAUAAGACCUAAGUUUUUGAUAGUUUAUCUUACAAAAUUUGUUCAAACUAAAGUAAAAUGCCAUUGUUAAGAUUAAGCAAUUGUAGCUUAAAUUUUAUAUAAAUAGUCUUAUACAUAUAUUCUUAUAGCCCAUAAAAAUAGUUGUAGAAUAAUGAUUUCUUUACACAUUAAAAAUUAUUCCAUUAAGUUUUUAUGUCCUUGGUUUCAGCUUAUGACUAUGUUGAACUUGUUGACUUUGAUGGCUCUGAUAAAGUAUUUGCAAUUAUUUCCCUCAGUUUUUCUUCUUCACGGUUGGGUUAUUUUUCUGUGGUCUCCACUUUCUAGUUGGUCUCGAAUUAUUUUCAUUAUUCAAUAAUAUUCUGCUAGGCUCUCAUUCUGUGAAUGGUGAAUUUUUUUUCUUUCAUUUUUGUUGGAUAACUGUAGGUAGUCGAUUUCACCUAAUUUUACUGCUGAAACUGGUCGCAGGUAUAUAUACCUGUAAAAUUUUGAUAUCGGUGACGAAGUAACAGGUAUGGAUUUCACUGUCCACCACUGGUAGUGAUGCAUGCUUGACCACCCGCUGCCUGGCACAUCCAGAAAGUGGCUACGGAAGCUUGCAAAUUUUGUUAUGCAUAAGCGUAUUUUAUUCACAAGUUGGAUUCCUGAGAAUAGGGGAUACUUUUGCUUAGUGGCAAACCUGUUUUGCACAUCACGCUUGGUAUUUUCCUUGAUUUAGCGUGUUUGUGGUUUCGUUGUUCUGUAGAAGGUGGUUUCGUUUAUGCUGGGUAAAAAUAAGAUUUUAUGAUUGACAAUGUGGUAGAUAUUGUUUUAGAGUUUUAUAUCCUUUUCAGUAUGUAGCAAGAACUCUCAGAUUUUGAACUACUGAUGAAAAUUUUUCAUUCAUAAAUCAUCAAAAAAUAACAUCAUCACUUUUGUUAGCUUUUGGCUAAUGUACUUGGGUGCCUCUUUAAUGUGUUUUGUAAUUUUUUGUAUUACAAUUUUUUUUUAGUUUGUUACAAUGAUGCUGUUGCUUAUCCAAAAAGUGUGAAAUACAUAUAUUGAAAUUACUUACUAAUGUUCGGUUGCCUGUGCUAAUUAACAAAGAGUGCAACUAUAAAGAAACUGAUGUAAUGAAAUGUAAAGUGUUGAGUUUUGAUGUGCAUUGUGGUUCUAGUUGGUGUCACAGUUAUAAGUAUAAUGCAGGGGUGAUAGUUAUCACAAUAAGCUCAUGCAGUGUUAAUGUGUAUCAAGACCUUAGCCAGGACUUUGUGAAGGAGGGGCUCCAGUAUAACCAUCAUGUAAUUUUUUACUAGUAAGUAUUCUUUAUAAUGAAAUUUUUGGAAUUUUAAAAUUUAAAUUGUUGGUCAUACUAAAAUCUCAGGGAAUAGUAGAAUUUUAGUACUCCAAUGUUUACACUUAAAUUUUUUUAAGUUUUGUUUUUGUUUGAGAAAAAACUGUGUAUUUUAUUUAUUUCUAUUUAAUUGUUUUCAUACUUUGUUCUUAAGUCAGUUGUUUGAUUUCGUUAAAACAAUUCAUAAACAGUUAUAUAUUAAUGUUAAUAAAUACAUGAAACACAUAUUUAAAGUUUGUAUGUUAGAAAUACUUACACAUGUGCAAACUGGCAUGAAAUAUUGACUUUACUUGGAAAAACAAUUCCUGCCAUUUCCUUGAAUGAGGGCUGUAAUACGGAGGAAAUACACUAACGUUGCCCACUAAGGAUUACAAUAAUAUUUCCAAAUGAUAUCUUGUAACCUUAAUUAGACAAAUUUCUGUUAUUUUCUCAUUCUGUUUUCACAUGGUUGGUUUUUUUUUUUAAUUCUGGAAGGGAGGGGUCUGGACCCCAAGACCUCCCCCCCUCCUCCCCACCGCAACAGCUGCAUCCUUGGGUGUAGAGGCAUCUCAAAUGCUUUGGCAUUUACUUUCUAAUCUUAUUGGAGAUUUGGGUCCAUGUGCUGACAAAUUUUGGCUGAAAGAUUUCACAGAAAAAAUGUUCUGUUCAACCGAAUGACUUCAGUUACGUACAUAGGAUUGGCGUGGGUUUUUGGCAAGUGCAUAAACCUGUGAAUUAAUUAUUUGUGGCAUUUUGAAUCACCAACGUAAGGAACUGACAUUAAAAUUCCAUCCUAAUGAGGAAAAACAUCCACUUAAGGAGAUAACAUGCAGAAUAACUGGGGUUACUCUCUUUAGGUGAUCAGCAAACAGCCAUGCUACCAGGCUCGGCUUCUCAAAUUGUCAGAUGUGAUUAGUGUCCACGUGGAAUAGUUUCAUGUGAAAAGAACUUGUAUAUAUUUUUUAAUUUUAUACUAUUUUGGUAAUAGUAUUCUUGCAUUACUUAAAAAAAACUUUCAGAGAAAUGUUACAGUGGAUAGAUGUGUAAAGACUAGUUGAAUUGAUAAUGUAUGUGUAUCAAAUUAUAGCACCCUUUUUAAUGAGGUUUUAUUUAUUUGUGAGCUGUACAAAAUAUGUGUUUGUAAAUUGUUGUUUUUAGUUGAAUGUAACGUCAAGUGUGCGAUUGUGUCGACUCCAUGAUUAGUAGUAAAUUUAAGAAUUUUAUUGUG